UACGAAGGGUGCAAGCGUUGUCCGGAAUUAUUGGGCGUAAAGAGCUCGUAGGCGGUCUGUCGCGUCUGCUGUGAAAACUCAGGGCUUAACCCUGAGCUUGCAGUGGGUACGGGCAGACUAGAGUGCGGUAGGGGAGACUGGAAUUCCUGGUGUAGCGGUGAAAUGCGCAGAUAUCAGGAGGAACGCCGGUGGCGAAGGCGGGUCUCUGGGCCGUAACUGACGCUGAGGAGCGAAAGCAUGGGGAGCGAACAGG
RNAcentral lists this ribosomal RNA (253 nucleotides) under uncultured bacterium. RNAcentral describes it as "partial 16S ribosomal RNA". It matches the Rfam family "Bacterial small subunit ribosomal RNA", at positions 524 to 776 of the family's 1533-position model. The record is from RNAcentral.